Molecule: ribosomal RNA, 366 nt
Filed under: Alexandrium margalefii
Lineage: Eukaryota; Dinophyceae; Gonyaulacales; Pyrocystaceae
Description: partial Bacterial large subunit ribosomal RNA
Rfam family: Bacterial large subunit ribosomal RNA
Source: RNAcentral
GGCCGAAAGGCGUAGUCGAUGGACAGCAGGUUAAUAUUCCUGCGCUGGUCGUGUGGACCAAAGAGGGGACGGCACUCGAAUUGCAAGGGGACGGUUAGAAAUGUCCCUUACCGCAAGGUUAACCCCGUUUACGAUGGGUAUGUUGCAUGAAGGGUGUCCAAGAAAAGCCUCGGAGGGUUGAAGCACGCCAACCGUACUAAAACUGACACAGGUAGGCGAGACGAGUAGUCUAAGGCGCUCGGGAGAACACUGGUUAAGGAACUCUGCAAAAUGAUCCCGUAAGUUCGCGAUAAGGGAUGCCCACGCGAGUGGGCCACAGUAAAUCGGUUCCUCCGACUGUUUAUCAAAAACACAGGUCUCUGCUAA